This 69-nucleotide transfer RNA is filed under the name Capra hircus (goat). It matches the Rfam family "tRNA". Rfam says of the family: Transfer RNA (tRNA) molecules are approximately 80 nucleotides in length. Their secondary structure includes four short double-helical elements and three loops (D, anti-codon, and T loops). Lineage: Eukaryota; Metazoa; Chordata; Mammalia; Artiodactyla; Bovidae. RNAcentral also lists the same sequence under 1 other name. The record is from Rfam by way of RNAcentral.
CCUGGUAGCUCAGAGGGUAAAGCGUCUGCCUGCAAUGCAGGAGUCCUGGGUUCAAUCCCUGGGUCAGGA